UUGUAAUUGUGGCAUUUGGAUUCUUUUAUAGGACUGAACUAUUGCUUCAGCUCCAGCUACAGAUAGUUGGAAAUCUUCCUUUUUGUUCUGGAAAAUAAAAAGAUUUCUCGAGUGCCAUAUACUCCAACACACAGCAACUAUCAGCUCCAUUUCAGUCUUGCUUCUUCGAUCAGCCAAAGCCAACAACAAGCUUAGGACAUCCUUACACUUCAGGGCUUUCACUUCCUCUUCAAAGGUUGUAAGCUUCCAAAUUUUUCGCGAGGCUUUACAGUCAAACAACGAGUGAAAGAUAGUCUCUCUAUGACUCCUGCAUCUCUGACACCAGGGGGUUUGUAAAAUCCUUCGCUUCCAUAAAUUCUCUGAUGUGGGCAGCAAGUCAUUUGUUGCCCUCCACAUAAAAAUCUUCACUUUCUCCGGAAUUUGCAGAUACCAAAUUGAGUUCCAUGAAUUAUUGUCUUCCUUUGAGCUGCUAGGCCUGUUUGGGAACUUCAUUUGUAAAGCUAGUUGAUAACCACUCUUGACUGAGUAAUUACCCUUCUUGUCAUAAUGCCACAAAACUUGGUCUGGACUUAAUUGUCUUGGCAGAGGGAUUUUUAGAAUUUGUGCAGCAUCUUCUUGAUGGAAAUGUUGUCUUAUUACAUCAUCUCUCCAGCAUUGGUCUUCAUCAAUCAAAACUGACACGGUUGUAUCCAGGGGAAGGCUUGGAGGCGAUAUUGGUUUGAAUGUUUCUGGUCUUGGUAACCAGCCACUUUGGUACACUUUCACCAGCUUUCCAUCUCCAAUUCUCCAUCUAAGGCCCUUUCGAAUAACCUCUCUUCCCCACAAUAUGCUCCUCCAUAUAUAAGAGGGGUUUGAACCAAUUUGUGCUUCCAUAAAACAUGAAUGCCUGAAAUAUUUUUCCUUCAUCACCCUAGCUACAAGCGAUUCUGGUGCUUGGAUGAUCCUCCAGCUCUGCUUUGCUACUAGCGCUUGGUUAAAACUGGAUAAAUCUCGGAAGCCCAAUCCCCCUCUCUUUUUAGCUUGACACAAUCUUUCCCAUUUGGACCAGUGAAUAGAUCUUUUCUCCCUUUUUUUUCCCCACCAAAAACCAGCAAUGGCCUUCUGCAUAUCCUCACAUAGUCCUAGGGGGAGCUUAAAAACGCUCAUGGCAUAGGCAGGCACUGCUUGAGCUACUGCUUUUAUAAGAAUCUCCUUCCCUCCACUUGAGAAAAAAUUUGCUUGCCAAUUGGAGAUUUUGUUUAUAAUUCUGAGCUUGAUUUCGUUAAAGAAGCUGGUUUUUUUCCUCCCCACCAUUGAGGGAAGUCCUAGAUACUUUUCAUGUCUUGAGACCACUUGAAGCUGAAAAAUAUCCUUAAUUGUCGUUAUCUGCCCUUGCUUGGCAUUUUCACUGAAGAACAUGGAGGACUUUUCAAAAUUGAAGAUUUGCCCUGAGGCAGCAGCAUAGCAAUCAAAAAGCUGCUUCAGAUUCGUACAAUCCUCUUUAGUGGCUCUUGUGAAAACCAAGCUAUCAUCUGCAAAUAGAAGGUGAGUAAUAGACAAGUUCCCGCUGAAUUUUAAACCAUGAAUCAGCUGAUUUGAUUCAGCUUGGUGCAAAAGAUUUGUGAAAACCUCAGCACAGAUGAUGAACAAAUAUGGCGAGAGAGGGCAGCCUUGUCUUAAGCCUCUUUGAGGCUGGAUAAGGCCUUUUGCUACCCCAUUGAUUAGCACAGAGAAAGAUGUUGUAGAUAUACAUCUCAUGACCAGCUCUACCCAUUUGUGAGAGAAACCCAACCUUACCAAAGUGCAUCUUAAGAAUUCCCACUCCACCCUAUCAUAUGCUUUGCUAUUGUCUAAUUUCAAAGCCACUAGACCAUGCUUUUUAUUCUUGCUAUGCCUAAUCUUAUGAAGACACUCAUACCCAACAAUUAUAUUAUCGGUUAUGAGCCUAUUUGGUACAAAGGCACUUUGAGUUGGUGAAAUUACAGAAUCAAGGAUUAACUUCAGCCUAUUCGCUAUAGUUUUUGCAAUGAUCCUAUAGAUAACAUUACAAAGACUGAUCGGUCUAUACUCCAUCACUGCCUUAGGCAUUGCAAUUUUGGGAAUUAAGCAAAUGAAGGUAUGGUUCAGAGGAGCUAUAUUACCUCCAUCAUUGAGGAUGUGCAGACAUGUGGCUAUCACUCCUUCGCUGACUGAUGCCCAAUGCUUCUGGAAAAAAACCGCUGGGAGGCCAUCUGGGCCAGGGGCUUUCGUUGGAUGCAUCUGACUCAGAGCUUCUAGAAUUUCUGCUUCUGUGAAAGCCUGGUCCAGAUGGGAAUUCAUUUCUGCUGUGACUUUGCGAGGCAUGUUUCUGAGGGCUAGCUCCAGGUGCUGUUGGGAGGGAUUUGUUGAUGUGAAGAGGUUAUGGUAAUAUUCGCAGAACAUUCUCUCGAUAUCCUCUGCUUCCUCAGACCAUCUGUAUUUUCAUCAAAAAUUCCACUGAUCCAAUUUUUCCUUUUCCGAGCUGAAGCUUUGGAAUGGAAAAACUUGGUGUUUUUAUCCCCUUCUUGUAGCCAAACUGCUCUAGACCUCUGUCUCCAAUAGAUUUCUUCAUCCAAGAGCAAAUCAUCUAUUUGUCUUUCCAAGAGCUUUACUUGAUCGCCACUACUAUAAUGAUUGUUGUUGUCCUUAUAGGUUUUCAGUUCAGCCAAUAACUUCUUUAGCUUCUUCUCUCUCCCUCCAAAGGCUUGUUUACUCCAGAGUUUCAGCUCAGCCAAAGACUCCUUAGCUGCUUUUUUAAAAACAGAGACAGGGUCUGUAUCUUUCCACAUUCUCUUGCACUAUGAAGACAUGUGGAGUCCAUAUGAGAAAUGUUUGACGCCCAACUUUGGCAAACCUUUCAUGACAAAACUUUUCAAAAGCUCUUUUAUACGUGGAUGCCAAAUAAUUCAAUUAAUAAAACUUAUAACAUUAUAAGAAAAUUUAGUAGCCAAUAAGGCUGUUGGUAUUAAAGUGUUGUAUUUUUUGAUCUACAAUUGCUAUAAAAAAAUAUAAUUAUAAAAUAAAAAUUAAUAGUAUGAAUAAAUAUGACUCUUAAAUUUUAAUUUUGACAAAAACAGUAAAAAUGUUAUACGUUCUUUCAUCGUACUAGUAGUAAAUUAAAUCAAUUUAACUUUUAAAACAUAAUAAUUAAUAUUUAUCAAAUAUUUUAUUAUUGUAACUUUUAAAUUACAGUUCUCCACUAUCAAUACCAAGCGGAGAUUAAGUAGUGGUUAAUUAAAUAAUAAUAAAAAAAUAUGUUAGCUAAAAAGAGUAAUAGAACGUUUGUCUAAUAAGACUAAAAUUACCAGCUGUUAAUUGGUUGUUAGUUAAUAAUAAUUUAAUAUCCUAUUGCACAAGACAAAAUAACCACUAAAGACAAAAUCCAGCCUUGUUCUAGCCUUGAUAAUUUUAUUAUGUUUGCCAACGUUACGCAAUUAAAUUUCAUUUCAUUAUAUUAAGAGACAAAGAAAUGUUGAUAAAACCAAGGACUUAUAUGAUUAUAUAUAAUCAAUCAAGAUUCAAGAAUCAUGGGAAAGAGAAGAAAAAAAAAAAAAUUAGUCGAAUUGAUAAAAACAUGGAGAGAUUAAGGGUUUCUCUUUACUUAAUGAUUGUCUUGUCUAUCUUUCAUACUAAUUUUGAUGGUGCUAAUGCUACAAAAUUAAAGAGUGACAAGCUUUGCAGCCAGUGCUCCAAUUGUGAGUCAAAACAGUGCCCUGCUAGUGAAGCUUAUCCCCACAUGACGGCAUUCGACAACACGCUCAUCGCCGGUGCCUUGCAGUCGGAUUUUGUGGACUCCGAUGAUCGGGGAGUUUACUCGGUUCCCGAUAUCAAAGGUGGUGAAUCUGAGGAAUAUAAUGCUUAUUUUGGCUGGAAAUCCACUUCUGGUUCUACUUCUGGGUACCACAGGUAAGAUGCAAUGUUACAACAUUGUGCACAUAUUUUUAAUUUCUAACUAAAUUGACCAAUUUAUUGAAAUAAAAAACAAUGUAAAUGUGACCUGCAUUAUUCUUCAAAUAGCAAUUUUGGAUGCAUUUUUUAAAUUAAAAAAAAUGGGGGGGGGGGGUGUGUGUUGGAAUCUGAAUCGUUGCUAGAGACAAAACGACUUUGAAGGUGAGUUUGACGCCCAACUUUUUUUUUUUUUUUGAAAUGAAAGUAUUACUUUCAAUCAUUCAACUAUGUGAAUAGAUACAAAAGAUGGGUUGGAAGAUUGUCCUCCCAAAUUACACAAUCAGUGUAGUCUAAAACUAGCUUAGCAAGUGUGUGAGCAAAACCAUUACAAGUUCUUGGUGAGUGCUGUAUCUUGACAUGCUUUAGCCUUUUCAUCGUAUCUUGAACCUCAGAAACAAUCCAAAAAAUCUCAGCUUUUGUGCUUUUUCUAGCUGAAACUAAAUCUGUGACUUCCUUUGAAUCUGUCUCAACAAUCAAGGGUAGACACCCUGCACUUGCAGCAACUUCCAGCCCGAAUCUUGUUGCUUCGGCUUCUGCAUAAUCCACUCUGUCAAGCCAUUUUGAUGGCUUUAUGGCUGCUGUGAUGAACUUGCCCUCUGAAUUUCUAAUUACAAUGCCCAACCCCACUCUCUGAUUUUCUAGCUUUAUAGCAGCAUCAACAUUCACCUUGAACCAACCUGCAGGGGGGCACUUCCAAUGCUUAUGGGAUACCAAAUCUUGAUCUGAAAAUGCUUGUAAUUGUGGCAUUUGGAUUCUUUUAUAGGACUGAACUAUUGCUUCAGCUCCAGCUACAGAUAGUUGGAAAUCUUCCUUUUUGUUCUGGAAAAUAAAAAGAUUUCUCGAGUGCCAUAUACUCCAACACACAGCAACUAUCAGCUCCAUUUCAGUCUUGCUUCUUCGAUCAGCCAAAGCCAACAACAAGCUUAGGACAUCCUUACACUUCAGGGCUUUCACUUCCUCUUCAAAGGUUGUAAGCUUCCAAAUUUUUCGUGAGGCUUUACAGUCAAACAACGAGUGAAAG
This 4966-nucleotide long non-coding RNA is filed under the name Citrus sinensis (sweet orange). RNAcentral's name for it is "long non-coding RNA (CSIN_LNC000083)". The record is from RNAcentral. Lineage: Eukaryota; Viridiplantae; Streptophyta; Magnoliopsida; Sapindales; Rutaceae.